RNAcentral lists this ribosomal RNA (490 nucleotides) under Enterococcus casseliflavus. Its description in RNAcentral is "bacterial SSU rRNA". It matches the Rfam family "Bacterial small subunit ribosomal RNA", at positions 28 to 492 of the family's 1533-position model. Lineage: Bacteria; Bacillati; Bacillota; Bacilli; Lactobacillales; Enterococcaceae. The record is from RNAcentral.
GACGAACGCUGGCGGCGUGCCUAAUACAUGCAAGUCGAACGCUUUUUCUUUCACCGGAGCCUGCUCCACCGAAAGAAAAAGAGUGGCGAACGGGUGAGUAACACGUGGGUAACCUGCCCAUCAGAAGGGGAUAACACUUGGAAACAGGUGCUAAUACCGUAUAACACUAUUUUCCGCAUGGAAGAAAGUUGAAAGGCGCUUUUGCGUCACUGAUGGAUGGACCCGCGGUGCAUUAGCUAGUUGGUGAGGUAACGGCUCACCAAGGCAACGAUGCAUAGCCGACCUGAGAGGGUGAUCGGCCACACUGGGACUGAGACACGGCCCAGACUCCUACGGGAGGCAGCAGUAGGGAAUCUUCGGCAAUGGACGAAAGUCUGACCGAGCAACGCCGCGUGAGUGAAGAAGGUUUUCGGAUCGUAAAACUCUGUUGUUAGAGAAGAACAAGGAUGAGAGUAAAAUGUUCAUCCCUUGACGGAUCUAACCAGAAGCC